AACACGGACCAAGGAGUC
RNAcentral lists this small nuclear RNA (18 nucleotides) under Arabidopsis thaliana (thale cress). RNAcentral describes it as "snRNA_15715". The record is from RNAcentral. Lineage: Eukaryota; Viridiplantae; Streptophyta; Magnoliopsida; Brassicales; Brassicaceae.